Molecule: small nucleolar RNA, 106 nt
Organism: Dendrobium catenatum
Lineage: Eukaryota; Viridiplantae; Streptophyta; Magnoliopsida; Asparagales; Orchidaceae
Source: RefSeq, a predicted model, not a curated record
AAAGCAUAAUGAGGGCAUUUCCUUAACUUCUCCUUAAAUCUCUCCCAACUUUCAUAAAUUUACUCUCCUUCAAACUAGGAAAAGGAUGUGAUAUCAUUCCUAAGCU